UACGUAGGGUGCAAGCGUUAAUCGGAAUUACUGGGCGUAAAGCGUGCGCAGGCGGUUUUGUAAGUCUGACGUGAAAUCCCCGGGCUCAACCUGGGAACUGCGUUGGAGACUGCAAGGCUAGAAUCUGGCAGAGGGGGGUAGAAUUCCACGUGUAGCAGUGAAAUGCGUAGAGAUGUGGAGGAACACCGAUGGCGAAGGCAGCCCCCUGGGUCAAGAUUGACGCUCAUGCACGAAAGCGUGGGGAGCGAACAGG
RNAcentral lists this ribosomal RNA (253 nucleotides) under uncultured bacterium. Its description in RNAcentral is "partial 16S ribosomal RNA". It matches the Rfam family "Bacterial small subunit ribosomal RNA", at positions 524 to 776 of the family's 1533-position model. The record is from RNAcentral.